This is a long non-coding RNA of Equus caballus (horse), 13230 nucleotides long. The record is from Ensembl. NCBI's taxonomy places the organism in Eukaryota, Metazoa, Chordata, Mammalia, Perissodactyla, Equidae.
GGUACGUCUGAGAGGUGGUUCCGGCAUGCCCGGCAGGUGAUUCCGGAGUGUCCGGCAUGUGGUUCUGGCACCUCUGAGAGGCGGUUCCGGCAUGCCCGGCAAGUGGUUCCAGAGUGUCUGCCGAGUGGUUAUGGCGAAGCCGGCAGGUGAUUUUGGCGUGUCCAGCAGGUGGCUCUGGGGAGUGAAUCAGUUGGUUCCGGCAUACUCGGCAGGUGGUUCCGGCGUGUCCGGCACAUGCUUCUGGCAAGUGUGAGAGGUGGUUCCGGAAUGCCUGGCAGGUGAUUCCGGAGUGUUCGCCAAGUGGUUCUGGCGUAGCCGGCAGGUGAUUUUGCAUGUCCAGCGGGGGUUCCGGAUAGUCGAGCCGGUGGUUCCGGUGUGUCCGGCAGGUGGUUCCGGUCUGUCCGGCAGGUGGUUCUGGCGUGUCCGGCACGAGGUUCUGGCACAUCUGAGAGGUGGUUCCGGCAUGCCCGACAGGUGAUUCCGGAGUGUCCGCCACGUGGUUCUGGCGUAGCCUGCAGGUGAUUUUGGCGUCUUAGGCAGGUGGUUCUGGGGAGUGCAUAAGGAACUUCAGGCAUUCUCGCAGGUGCUUCCGCCGUCUCCGGCAUGUGUUUGUGGCACCUCUGAGAGGUGGUUCCAGCAUGCCCGUCAGGUGACUCCGGAGUGUCCGCCAAGUGGUUCUGGUGUAGCUGGCACGUGAUGUUGGCGUGACCGGCAGGUGGUUCCAACAAGCCCGGCAGGUGAUGCCGAAGUGUUCACCAACUGGUUGUGUGGUAGCCGGCAGGUGAUUUUGGCGUGUCAGGUAGGUGGUUCUGGCGAGUCAAGCAGGUUGUUCUGGUGUGCUCAGCAGGUGGUUCAGGCGGGUCUGGCAGGUGGUUUCGGUCUGUUCGGGGUGUGUUUCCGGCAUCUCAGGCACAUGGUUCUGGCACGUCUGAGAGGUGGUUCCGGACAGCCAGACAGGUGUUUCUGGAGUGUCCGCCAAGUGGUUCUGGCGUAGCUGGCAGUUGAUGUUGGUGUGACCGGCAGGUGGUUCCAGCAAGCCCGGCAGGUGAUUCCGAACUGUUCACCAACUGGUUGUGGUGUAGCCGGCAGGUGAUUUUCGCAUGUCCAGCCGGUGGUUCUGGCGAGUCGAGCAGGUGGUUCCAGCGUUCUCAGCAGGCUCUUCUUCUGUCAUUGGCAUGUGGUUCUGGCAAGUCUGAGAGGUGGUUCCAGCAUGCCCAGCAUCUGAUUCGGAGUGUCCGACAAGUGGUUGUGGCAUAGCCGGCUGCUGAUUUGGAUUGUCCGGCAUGUGGUUCCGGUCUGUCCUGGAGGUGGUUGCGGAGUGUCGGCCGAGUGGUUCUGGCAUAGCCGACAGGUGAUUUUGACGUGUCCAGCAGGUGUUCCUGGGGAGUGGAUAAGGUGGUCCCGGCAUACUGGGCAUGUGGUACCAGCAUGUCCGGAACAUGGUUAUGGCAAGUCUGAGAGGUGGCUCCGGCAUGCCCGACAGGUGAUUCCGGAGAGUCCGCCAAGUGGUUCUGUCGUACCCGGCAGGUGAUUUUGGCGUGCCCGGCACGUGGUUCUGACGAGUCAUGCAGGUGGUACCGGUGUGCUCGGCAGGUGCUUCCAGUGUCAUUGGCAUGUGGUUCUGGCAUGUCUGAGAGGUGGUUCCGGCAUGCCCGGAAGGUGAUUCGGGAUUGUUCACAGAGUGGUUCUGGCGUAGCCGGCAGCUGAUUUUGCAUGUCCUGUGGUGGUUCCGGCGAAUCGAGCCGGUGGUUCCGGCGUGUCUGGCAGGUGGUUCUGGUCUGUCGUGGAGGUGUUUCCGGAGUGUCUGCCGUGUGGUUCUGGCAUAGCCGACAGGUGAUUUUGGCGUGUACAGCAGGUGGUUCUGGGGAGUCGAACAGGAGGUUCCGGCAUACUCGGCAGGUGGUACCGGCGUGUCCGGAACAUGGUUCUGGCACGUCUGAGAGGUUGUGUCAGCAUGCCCUUCACGUGAUUCUGGCUGGUCCGCCAAAUGGUUCUGGUGUAGCAGGCUGGUGAUUUUGGCGUGUCCGGCAGGUGGGACCAGUGAGUCAAGCAGGUGGUUCCGGCGAGUGUUUCCUGUGUUUGCGGUCUGUCCGAGAGAUGGUUCCGGCCUGUCCGGCAAGUGCUUCUGGCACUUCUGAGAGGUUGUUCUGGCAUGCCCGGCAGGUUAUUCUGGAGUGUCCGCCAAGUGGUCCUGGCAUAACCGGCACAUGAUUUUGGCGUGUCCCACAGGCGGUUCUGUGGAGUGGAGCAGGUGGUUCUGGCAUACUCGGCAGGUGGUACCGGCGUGUCCGGAACAUGUUUCUGGCAAGUCUGAGAGGUGGUUCCGGCAUGCCCGACAGGUGAUUCCGGAGUGUCCGGGAUGUGGUUCUGGCACCUCUGAGAGGUGGUUCCUGCAUGCCAGACAGGUGAUUCUGGAGUGUCCGCUGAGUGGUUCUGGCGUACCUGGCAGGUGAUUUUGGCGUGUCCGGCAGGUGUUUCUUGCGAGUCGAGCAGGUGGCUCAGGCAUGCGCAGCAGGUGCUUCCGGCGUGUCGGGCACAUGAUUCUGGUGUGUCUGAGAGCUGGUUCUUGCAUGUCCGGCAGAUGAUUCCGGAGUUUCCACCAAGUGGUUCUGGCAUACCCGGCAGUUGAUUUUGGCGUGUCAGGUAGGUGGUUCCGGCGAGUCGAGGAGGUCGUUCCGGCGUGCUCAGCAGGUGGUUCAGGCGGGUCUGGCAGGUGGUUUCUGUCUGUUCGGGGUGUGGUUCUGGCAUCUCAGGCACAUGGUUCUGGCUCGUCUGAGAGUUGUUUCCCUUCGGCCGGACAGGUGUUUCCGGAGUGUCCGCCAAGUGGUUCUGGCGUAGCUGGCUGGUGAUGUUUGCGUGACCGGCAGGUGAUUCCGAAGUAUUCACCAACUGAUUGUGGCCUAGCCGGCAGGUGAUUUUGGCGUGUCUGGCAGGUGGUUCUGGCGAGUCGAGCAGGUGGUUCCAGCGUGCUCGGCAGGUGCUUCCGGUGUCAUUGGCAUGUGGUUCUGGCAUGUCUGAGAGGUGGUUCUGGCAUGCCCGGCAGGUGAUUCCGGAGUGUUCGCCAAAUGGUUCUGGGGUAGCCGGCAGGUGAUUUUGCAUGUCCGGCGGUGGUUCCUGCCAGUCGAGCCGGUGGUUCCGGCGUGUCGGGCAGGUGGUUCCGGUGUGUCCGGCAGGUGGUUCUGGGGUUUCCGGCACGAGUUUCUGGCACGUCUGAGAGGUUGUGUCGGCAUGCCCUUCACGUGAUUCCGGCUUGUCCGUCAAGUGGUUCUGGUGUAGCCGGCAGGUGAUUUUGGCGUGUCAGGUAAGUGGUUCCGGCGAGUCGAGCAGGUGGUUGCAGCAUGCUUGGCAGGUGGUUCUGGUUUGUCUGGCAGGUGGUUUCCGUCUGUUGGGGUGUGCUUCCGGCAUCUCAGACACAUGGUUCUGGCACGUCUGAGAGGUGGUUCCGGCCGGCCCGACAGGAGUUUCCGGAGUGUCCGCCAAGUGGUUCUGGCGUAGCUGACAGGUGAUGUGGGUGUGACCGGCAGGUGUUUCCAGCCAGCCCGGCAGGUGAUUCCGAAGUGUUCACCAACUGGUUGUGGCGUAGCCGGCACGUGAUUUUGGCAUGUCCGGCAGGUGGUUCUGGCAAGUCGAGCAGGUGGUUCUGGCGUGCUCGGCAGGUGCUUCUGGUGCCAUUGACAUGGGGUUCUGGCAUAUCUGAGAGGUGCUUUCGCCAUGCCUGGUAGGUGAUUCCGGAGUGAUCGCCAAGUGUUUCUGGCGUAGCCGGCAGGUGAUUUUGCAUAUCCGGCGGUGGUUCUGGCGAGUCGAGCCGGUGGUUCCGGCGUUUCCGGCAGGUGGUUCCGGUCUGUCCUGGAGGUGUUUCCGGAGUGUCUUCCUAGUGGUUCUGGCAUAGCCGGCAGGUGAUUUUGGCGUGUCCAGCAGGUUUUUUUGGGGAGUGGAUCAGGUGGUUCUGGCAUACUCGGCAGGUGGUACCGGCGUGUCCGGAACAUAGUUCUGGCACGUCUGAGAGGUUGUGUCAGCAUGCCCUUCACGUGAUUCCGGCUUGUCCGCCAAGUGGUUCUGGUGUACUGGGCAGGUGAUUUUGGCGUGUCUGGCAGGUGGGACCGGUGAGUCAAGCAGGUGGUUCUGGCGAGUGUUUCCUGUGGUUCCGGUCUGUCCGGGAGAUGGUUCCGGCCUGUCCGGCACGUGCUUCUGGCACUUUUGAGAGUUUGUGCUGGCAUGCCCGGCAGGUGAUUCUGGAGUGUCCGUCAAGUGGUUCUGGCGUAGCCGGCCCGUGAUUUUGGCAUGUCCGGCAGGUGGUUCUGUGGAGUGGAGCAGGAACUUCUGGCAUUCUCGGCAGGUGCGUCCGCCGUCUCCGGCAUGUGUUUGUGGUACCUCUGAGAGGUGGUUCCAGCAUGCCCAGAAGGUGAUUCCGGAGUGUCCGACAAGUGGUUGUGGCGUAGCCAGCUGGUGAUUUUGGCGUUUCCGGCACGUGGUUCUGACGAGUCAAGCAGGUGGUCCCGGCGUGUCCGGUCGGUGGUUCCGGUAUGUCCUGGAGUUGGUUGCGGAGUGCUCGGGAGGUCCUUCCGGUGUCAUUGGCAUGUGGUUCUGGCAUGUCUGAGAGGUGGUUCCGGCAUGCCCGGCCGGUGAUUCCGGAGUGUUCGCCAAGUUGUUCUGGCAUAGAGGGCAGGUGAUUUUUUCGUGUCAGGUAGGUGGUUCUGGUGAGUUGAGCAGGUGGUUCCGGCGUGCUUGGCAGGUGCUUCUGGUGCCAUUGACAUGUGGUUCUGGCAUGUCUGAGAGGUGGUUCCGGCGUGUCUGGCACGUGCUGCUGGUAUGUCUCAGUGGUGGGUCCUGCAUGCCCGGCCGGUGAUCCCGGAGAUUCCUCCAAGUGAUUCUGUCAUAACCGGCAGGUGAUUUUGGCAUGUUCAGCUGGUGGUUCCAGCCUGGUCGGCAGGUGCUUCCGGCGUCUCCAGCACGUGUUCCUGGCACAUCCGACAGGUGGUUCCGGCAUGCCCGAAAGGUGAUUCCGGUCUGUCCGGUAGGUCGUUCCGGAGUGCACAGCACGUGGUUCUGGUAGGUCUCAGAGGUGGUUGCGCAUGCCCAACAGGUGAUUCCGGAGUGUCCGGCAAGUGGUUCUGGCGUACCCGGAGGUGUUUUUGGUGAGUCCGGCAGGUAAUUCCGGAGUGUCAGGUAAGUGGUUCUGGUGUAUCUGGCAGAUCAUUUUGGCGCGUCCGGCACGUGGGUCCUGCAAGUCGAGCAGGUGGUUCCGGCAUGCUCGGCAGGUGGUCCAGGCGUGUCCGGCAGGUGGUUGCAGUCUGUCCAGGACGUGGUUCCAGCGUGUCCGGCACGUGGUUCUGUUACGUCUGAGAAGUGGUUCCUGCAUGCCCGGCAGGUGAUUCCGGACUGUCCACCAGGUGGUUCCCGCAUAGCCAGCUGUUGAUUUUGGACUGUCCGGCAGGUGGUUCCGGCGAGUCGAGCAGGUGGCUCCGGCGUGCUCAGCAGGUGGUUCCGGUCUGUCCGGUAGGUGUUUCCGGCGUGUCCGGCACGUGCUUCCAGCACGUCUGAGAGGUGGUUCCGCCAUGCGCGGCAGGUGAUUCUGGAGUGUCCGCCAGGUGGUUCUGGCGUACACGGCAGGUGAUUUUGGCGUGUCCGGCAGGUGUUUCUGGUGAGUCAAGCAGGUGGAUCCGGCAUGCUCGGCAGGUGCUUCCGGCGUGUCCGGCACGUGGUUCUGGUGUGUCUGAGAGCUGGUUCCGCCAUGUCCGGCACAUGAUUCCGGAGUGUCCGCCAAGUGGUUCUGGUGGAGCCGACAGGUGAUUUUGGCAGGUCCAGCAGGCGGGUCCUGCGUGUCGAGCAGGUGGUUCCUGCAUGCUCGGCAAGUGGUUCCGGCGUGUCCGGCAGGUUCUUCUGGUCUGUCUGGGAGCUGGUUCCUGCAUGGCUGGCAUGUUGUUCUGGCACGUCUGUGAGGUGCUUCGGGCGUGCCCGGCAGGUGAUCCCUGGGUGUCCGCCAAGUGGUUCUGGCGUCACCGGCAGGUUAUUUUGGUGUGUCCGGGAGAUCUUUCCUGCUUUUUGGGCUCGUGGCUCUGGCUUGUAAGACAGGUGCUUGUGGCAUUUCUGGCCCCCGUUCUUACAUACUCCUCAGCUGGUUUCAGUGUUUCUGGCACAUGUUUGCGGCAUAUCCAACAGGUGUUUACAAUGUGUCUGGCAUGUCGUUGUGCUGUGUUUGGAAUCAGGUUCGGUCAUGUCAUUGUGUGUGGCUGGCAUGUUGAAGAGAUGGUUCUGCAGUCUCAGAAUCGUUGUUCCACUGUGUCCGGCAGGUGGUUACAGGUGGUUCUGGCAUGCAACGUGGGUGCUUCUGGUAUGCCUGUUGGGUCGUACAGGCAUGAAUGUGUGGCUUUUUGAGAGUGUGCAGAGAGUGUUUUUGGCAUGUCUCCCGGGGUUUUCUGGCACAUAAAGGGCAUGAUUCCUUUUUAUACGUCAGGUGAGUUUGUUCUCAGCUUCCUAAAGAGAUGGAAGAAAGAUGGUCUGUGGCUUGUGGCCCCUUGAGGGGUGGAGCCAAUGCAUUGUGCAUUCCACGUCUAGAGCAAUGGAGGGCAUGGUUGAGAGCAAAAGGGUCUUUCUGACAUAGCUGCAUUCUGAGACUCUCUCCACCAGUGCACAAUGGUGGUUGGAAAAAGGUUUACAGUCUAUCGCCUCCUGAGCAGGUGGAUGCUAAAUCAUUUGGGACUCAGCCCAGUUGCUUCAGGGGAAGAUGUAGGCAUUUCAUCUGAGCAAGGUUGGCAAGGUAGAAUUGCAGCAGUGGCAGAAGUCCUAAAGCGGCAAAUUAAGUGCUGGGAAGAAAUGGCGUUUGAGCUGACUUUGUAUGAGAGUUUCCUCGUAUGCUGUAACAGCACUGUGGAAAGCGAGAUCUUUCUCAGCUUCCUACAGAGCUGGAAGCAGGACAGUUGAUGGCUUGUCUCCAAUUGAAGGAUGGAGAUAGUGCUUUGUGCCUUCCACCUCUGGAGCAAUGGAGGUCAUGGCUGAGAGCAAAGGGCCCUUUCUGACAUAGGUGCACUCUGACACUCUCAGCACCAGUGCACAAUGGCGGUUUGUAAAAAGCCUAUUGUCUGCUCCUGCUAAGCAUGUGGAAGCAGAAUCAUCUGGGCCUCGUGCCCGUUGCUGAAGGGGAAGAUGUAGGCAUUUUGUCUGAGCCAGGUUGCCAAGGUGGAAAUGUGCAGGAUGCAGAAGUCCCAGACUGGGGUGUGAAGUGAUGAAGGAAACGGUGUUCAGCCUCCUUUGUAUGAGAUGUUCCCAGGACGCUGUAAGGGCACUGUGGAAAGGGAGUUUUUUCUCAGCUUCCUACAGAGCUGGAAGCAGGACAAGAUGUUGUUUGUCUCCUAUUGAGGGGUGGAUCCAGAGCCAGUGCCUUGUGCCUUCCACCUGUAGAGCAAUGAAGGGCACGGCUGUGAGCAAAGGGGCCUUUCUGACAUAGCUUCUUUACGAAAAUCUCUCCAGCAGUGCACAUUGGUGGUUGGAAAAAGGCGUGCAGUCUAUCGCCUCCUAAGCACGUGGACGCUCAAUCAUUUGGGACUCAGCCCAGUUGCUUCAGGGGAAGAUGUAGGCAUUUCGUCUGAGCCGGAUUGGCAAGGUGGAAUGGCGGCAGAAGCAGAAGUCCUAAAGCUGCGAGUUAAGCACUGGGAAGAAAUGGCGUUUGAGCUGCCUUUGUAUGAGAGGUACCUGGUAUGCUGUAAGGGGACUGUGGAAAGCGAGUUGUUCGUCAGCUUCCUAAAGAGCUGGAGGCAAGACAAUAUAUGGCUUGUCUCCCAUUGAAGGAUGGAGGCAGUGCUUUGUGCCUUCCACCUGCAGAGCAAUGGAGGGCACAGCUGAGAGCCAAGGGGGCUUUCUGCCAUAGGUGCUUUCUGAUCCCCUUCAGGGGUGGUGCCAGUGCCUUGUGCCUCCUACCUCUAGAGGAAUGGAGGGCACGGCCGAGAGUAAAGGGCCUUUCCGACAUUGGUGCCUUCUGACACUCCCCAAACCACUGCUCAAGGUCGGUUGGUUAAAAGCCCAUUGUCUGUCUCCUCCUCAGCAUGUGGAACCACAAUCAUCCGGGCGUCGUCCCCAUUGCUCAAGGGGAAGAUGUAGGCAUUUUGUCUGAGCCGGGUUGGCAAGAUGGAAAUGUGGCAGAAGCGGAUGUUGCAGAUUGGUGAGUUAAGGGCUGAAAUGACACGGCGUUAAGUUGUCUUUGUAUGUGAUGUUCCCAGGAUGCUGUAAGAGCACUGUGAAAUGCGAGUGCCUUCCCAGCUUCCUAAAGAGCUGGAAGGAGGACAGUUUAUUGCUUUUCUCCAAUUGAAGGAUGGAGGCAGUGCUUUGUGCCUUCCACCUCUAGAGCAAUGGAGGGCACGUCUGAGAUGAAAGGGACCUUUCUGACAUAGGUGCAUUGUGACACCCUCUGCACCAGUGCACAAUGGCAGUUUGUAAAAAGCCUAUUGUCUCCUCUUGCUAAACAUGUGGAGGCACAAUCAUCUGGGCCUCGUUCCCGUUGCUGAAGGGGAAGAUGUAGGCAUUUUGUCUGAGCCGGGUUGGCAAGGUGUAAAUCUGGCAAGCAGAAGUUCUAAAUCAGCGAGUUAAGCGCUGAAAAGAAACGGCAUAUCAGCAGCCUUUGUAUGAGAUGUUGCCAGGACACAGAAAGAGCACUGGUGAAAGCGAGUUCUUUCUCAGCUUCCUAAAGAGAUGGAAGGAAGAUGGCCUGUGGGUUGUGGAACUUUGAGGGGUAGAGCCAGUGCAUUGUGCAUUCCACGUCUAGAGCAAUGGAGGGCAGAGCUGAGAGCAAAGGGGUCUUUCUGACACAGCUGCUUUCCAACACUCUCUCCACCAGUGCACAAUGGAGGUUGGAAAAAGGCGUGCAGUCUAUCACCUCCUAAGCACGUGGACGCUCAAUCAUUUUGGACACAGCCCAGUUGCUUCAGGGGAAGAUGUAGGCAUUUCGUCUCACCGGGUUGGCAAGGUGGAAUUGCGGCAGAAGCAGAAGUCCUAAAGCGGCGAGUUAAGCACUGGUAAGAAAUGGCGUUUGAGCUGCAUUUGUAUGAGUGUUUCCUCAUAUGCUUAAACAGCACUGUGGAAAGCGAGUUCUUUCUCAGCUUCCUAAAGAGCUGGAAGCAAGACAGUUUAUGGCUUGUUUCGCAUUGAAGGAUUGAGGCAGUCCUUUGUGCCUUCCAGCUCUAGAGCAAUGGAGGGCAUGGCUGAGAGCAAAGGGGUCUUUCUGCCAUUGGUGCUUUCUGACACUCUCUCAACCAUUGCACUUGGUGGUUAGUUAAAAGCCUAUUGUCUCUCUCCUCCUCAGCAUGUGGAACCACAAUCAUCCGGGCCUCGUCCCAAUUGCUCAAGGGGAAUCUGUAGGCAUUUCGUCUGAGCCGGGUUGGCAAGGUGGAAUUGUGGCAGAAGCAGAAGUUCUAAAGUGGCGAGCUAAGGCCUGGCAAGAAAGGCCGUUUGACCUUCAUUUGUAUGACAGUUUCCCCAUAGGAUUUUCCCAGGAGCCGAGCAGGUGUUUCUGGCAUUCUCGGCAGGAUGUUCGUGCGUGUCCGGCCGGUGGCUCCAGUCUGUCCAGGAUGUGGUUCCGGCGUGUCUGGCACGUGCUUCUGGUACGUCUCAGAGUUGGUUCCGGCAUGCCCGGCCGGUGAUCCCGGAGAGUCCUCCAAGUGAUUCUGGCAUUACCGGCAGGUGAUUUUGGCGUGUUCGGCUGGUGGUUCCAGCCUGGUCGGCAGGUGGUUCUGGCGUGUCCGGCACUUGGUUCUGGCACGUCUGAGACAUGGUUCCGGCAUGCCCACCAGGUGAUCCCGGAGAGUCCGACAAGUGGUUCAGGCCUAGCAGGCAGGUGAUUUUGGCGUGUCCGGCAGUUGUUUCUGGCGAGUCGAGCAGGUGGCUCCGGCAUGCUCGGCAGGUGCUUGCGGCGUCUCCGGCACGUGGUUCUGGUGUGUCUGAGAGCUGGUUCCCGCAUGUCCGGCAGAUGAUUCCGGAGUGUCCGCCAAGUGGUUCUGGCAUACCCGGCAGGUGAUUUUGGUGUGUCAGGUCGGUGGUUCCGGCGAGUCGAUCAGGUGGUUCCGGCGUGCUCGGCAGGUGGUUCAGGCGGGUCUGCCAGGUGGUUCCCGUCUGUUCAGGGUGUGGAUCCGGCAUCUCAUGCACAUGGUUCUGGCACAUCUGAGAUGUGGUUCCGGCCGGCCCGACAGGUGUUUCCGCAGUGUCCGCCAAGCGGUUCUGGCGUAGUUGGCAGGUGAUUUUGGCAUGACCGGCAGGUGGUUCCAGCAAGCCCGGCAGGUGAUUCCGAAGUGUUCACCAACUGGUUGGGGCGUAGCCGUCUGGUGACUUUUGCGUGUCCGGCAGGUGGUUCUGGCGAGUCGAGCAGGUGGUUCCGGUGUGCUCGGCAGGUGCUUCCGGGGUCACUGGCAUAUUGUUCUGGCAUGUCUGAGAGGUGGUUCCGGCAUGCCCGGCAGGUGAUUCCGGAGUGUUCGCCAAGUGGUUCUGGCAUAGCUGGCAGGUGAUUUUGCAUGUCCGGCGGUGGUUCCGGCGGGUCGAGCCGGUGGUUCUGGCGUGUCCGGCAGGUGGUUGCGGUCUGUCCGGCAGGUGGUUCUGGGGUGUCCGGCACGAGGUUCUGGCACGUUUGAGAGGCUGUGCCGGCAUGCCCCUCACGUGAUUCCGGCUUGUCCCCCAAGUGGUUCUGGUGUAGCUGGCAGGCAAUUUGGGCAUGUCCUGCAGGUGGGACCGGUGAGUCAAGCAGGUGGUUCCGGGGAGUGUUUCCUGUGGAUCCGGUCUGUCCGGGAGAUGGUUCCGGCCUGUCCGGCACGUGCUUCUGGCACUUCUGAGAGGUUGUGCUGGCAUGCCCGGCAGGUGGUUCCGGAGUGUCCUCCAAGUGGUUCUGGCGUAGCCGUCAGGUGAUUUUGCCAUGUCCGGCAUGUGGUUGCAGCGAGUCGAGCAUGUGUUUCCGGCGUCCUCGACAGUUGGUUCAGGCACGUCCGGCAGGUUGUUCCGGUCUGUCCUGGAGUUGGUUCCGGCGUGUCCGGCACGUGGUUCAGGCGAGUUGAGCAGGUGGUUUUGACGUGCUCGGCAGGUGCUUCCGGCGUCUCCGGCACGUGUUUCUGGCACAUCUGACAGGUGGUUCCGGCCUGCCCGAAAGGUGAUUCCCGUCUUUCCGGUAGGCGGUUCCGGCGUGCACAGCUCGUGGUUCUGGUACAUCUCAGAGGUGGUUGCGCAUGCCCAACAGGUGAUGCCGGAGUGUCGGGUAGUGGUUCUGGUGUAGCCGGCAGUUCAUUUUGGCGUGUCCGGCACGUGGGUCCUGCGAGUCGAGCAGGUGGUUCCGGCGUGCUCGGCAGGUGGUCCAGGCGUGUCCAGCAGGUGGUUCCAGUCUGUCCAGGACGUGCUUCUAGCGUGUCUGGCACGUGGUUCUGUUACGUCUGAGUGGUGGUUCCUGCAUGCCCGGCAGGUGAUUCCGGACUGUCCGCCAGGUGGGUCCCGCAUAGCCAGCUGUUGAUUUUGGCCUGUCCGGCAGGUGGUUCCGGCAUGCUCGGCAGGUGGUUUCGGUCUGUCCGGUAGUUGUUUCCAGCGUGUCCGGCACGUGCUUCCGGCACGUCUGAGAGGUGGUUCCGGCAUGCACGGCAGGUGAUUCUGGAGUGUCCGCCAGGUGGUUCUGGCGUACCCAGCAGGUGAUUUUGGCAUGUCAGGUAGGUGGUUCCGGCAAGUCGAGCAGGUGGUUCCGGCGUGCUCGGCAGGUUGUUCAGCUGGGUGUGGCAGGUCCCUCUAAGAAGUUGGGGGACGCCGACCGCUCGGGGGUCGCGUAACUAGUUAGCAUGCCAGAGUCUCGUUCGUUAUCGGAAUUAACCAGACAAAUCGCUCCACCAACUAAGAACGGCCAUGCACCACCACCCACGGAAUCGAGAAAGAGCUAUCAAUCUGUCAAUCCUGUCCGUGUCCGGGCCGGGUGAGGUUUCCCGUGUUGAGUCAAAUUAAGCCGCAGGCUCCACUCCUGGUGGUGCCCUUCCGUCAAUUCCUUUAAGUUUCAGCUUUGCAACCAUACUCCCCCCGGAACCCAAAGACUUUGGUUUCCCGGAAGCUGCCCGGCGGGUCAUGGGAAUAACGCCGCCGCAUCGCCAGUCGGCAUCGUUUAUGGUCGGAACUACGACGGUAUCUGAUCGUCUUCGAACCUCCGACUUUCGUUCUUGAUUAAUGAAAACAUUCUUGGCAAAUGCUUUCGCUCUGGUCCGUCUUGCGCCGGUCCAAGAAUUUCACCUCUAGCGGCGCAAUACGAAUGCCCCCGGCCGUCCCUCUUAAUCAUGGCCUCAGUUCCGAAAACCAACAAAAUAGAACCGCGGUCCUAUUCCAUUAUUCCUAGCUGCGGUAUCCAGGCGGCUCGGGCCUGCUUUGAACACUCUAAUUUUUUCAAAGUAAACGCUCCGGGCCCCGCGGGACACUCAGCUAAGAGCAUCGAGGGGGCGCCGAGAGGCAAGGGGCGGGGACGGGCGGUGGCUCGCCUCGCGGCGGACCGCCCGCCCGCUCCCAAGAUCCAACUACGAGCUUUUUAACUGCAGCAACUUUAAUAUACGCUAUGAAGCUGGAAUUACCGCAGCUGCUGGCACCAGACUUGCCCUCAAUGGAUGCUCGCGAAAGGAUUUAAAGUGGACUCAUUCCAAUUACAAGGGCCUCGAAAGAGUCCUGUAUUGUUAUUUUUCGUCACUACUCCCCGGGUCGGGAGUGGGUAAUUUGCGCGCCUGCUGCCUUCCUUGGAUGUGGUAGCCGUUUCUCAGGCUCCCUCUCCGGAAUCGAACCCUGAUUCCCCGUCACCCGUGGUCACCAUGGUAGGCACAGCGACUACCAUCGAAAGUUGAUAGGGCAGACGUUCGAAUGGGUCGUCGCCGCCACGGGGGGCGUGCGAUCGUCCCGAGGUUAUCUAGAGUCACCAAAACCGGCCGGCGCCCGCCCCCGGCCGGGGCCGGGAGGAGGCUGACCGGGUUGGUUUUGAUCUGAUAAAUGCACGCAUCCCCCCUGUGAAGGGGGUCAGCGCCCGUCGGCAUGUAUUAGCUCUAGAAUUACCACAGUUAUCCAAGUAGGAGAGGAGCGAGCGACCAAAGGAACCAUAACUGAUUUAAUGAGCCAUUCGCAGUUUCACUAUACCGGCCGUGCGUACUUAGACAUGCAUGGCUUAAUCUUUGAGACAAGCAUAUGCUACUGGCAGGAUCAACCAGGUAGGAGCGCGAGGGAGCCGGGAAGAGGCCGCGCACGCGCGCGCGCACA